RNAcentral lists this ribosomal RNA (309 nucleotides) under Triticum aestivum (bread wheat). RNAcentral describes it as "partial small subunit ribosomal RNA". The record is from RNAcentral. Lineage: Eukaryota; Viridiplantae; Streptophyta; Magnoliopsida; Poales; Poaceae.
AUGAACCGGUAUGGUAUGCCAUUCAUACCCUUUGUUGGUCUUAACAAUCACCGGAAGACCACUGUUUUUGCUUGUGCCAUAGUUUCGGACGAGACCGAAGAGACAUAUGUGUGGCUGCUGGAGACUUUUUUUAGGUCCAUGUGUCAAAAGAUGCUGAAGAGUGUUAUCAUGGACACCGACGCUGCGAUGAUCAAGGCAAUUCACCAAGUCUUGCCAGACGUGUGGCACCGCAUAUGUACGUGGCACAUAGAAAAAAAUAUGAAGAUUCACCUCAGUCACAAGUCCUUGAAGGAGUUCCGAACUCUUCUG